CUACGGGUGGCUGCAGUGAGGAAUAUUGCACAAUGGGGGGAACCCUGAUGCAGCAACGCCGCGUGGAGGAAGAAGGCCCGUGGGCUGUAAUCUUCUUUUCUCAGAGAAGAAGAUCUGACGGUAUCUGAGGAAUAAGCACCGGCUAACUCCGUGCCAGCAGCCGCGGUAAUACGGGGGGUGCAAGUGUUGUCCGGAAUGAUUGGGCGUAAAGCAUCUGUAGGUUGUUCUUAAAGUCUACUGUCAAAUCCCAGAGCUCAACUUUGGACAGGCAGUAGAGGACUCAAGAGCUUGAGUACGGUAGGGGUAGAGGGAAUUCCUAGUGGAGCGGUGAAAUGCACAGAGAUUAGGAAGAACACCAGUGGCGAAGGCGCUCUACUGGGCCGUGACUGACACUGAGAGAUGACAGCUGGGGGAGUGAAUAGGAUUAGAUACCCUUGUAGUC
Molecule: ribosomal RNA, 442 nt
Filed under: uncultured bacterium
Lineage: Bacteria
Description: partial 16S ribosomal RNA
Rfam family: Bacterial small subunit ribosomal RNA
Source: RNAcentral